GACGAAUGCUGGCUGCGUGCUAAACACAUGCAAGUCGAACGGUGAAGGGGAGCUUGCUCCCCGGAUCAGUGGCGAACGGGUGAGUAACACGUGGGCAACCUGCCCCUCACUCUGGGAUAACUCCGGGAAACCGGGGCUAAUACCGGAUACGACCGGGAGCGACAUCGCUCCUGGUGGAAAGAACUUCGGUGAGGGAUGGGCCCGCGGCCUAUCAGCUAGUUGGUGGGGUAACGGCCCACCAAGGCGACGACGGGUAGCCGGCCUGAGAGGGCGACCGGCCACACUGGGACUGAGACACGGCCCAGACUCCUACGGGAGGCAGCAGUGGGGAAUAUUGCGCAAUGGGCGAAAGCCUGACGCAGCGACGCAGCGUGAGGGACGAAGGCCUUCGGGUUGUAAACCUCUUUCAGCGGGGAUGAAGCGAAAGUGACGGUACCCGCAGAAGAAGCACCGGCUAACUACGUGCCAGCCGCCGCGGUAA
Molecule: ribosomal RNA, 481 nt
Filed under: uncultured bacterium
Lineage: Bacteria
Description: partial 16S ribosomal RNA
Rfam family: Bacterial small subunit ribosomal RNA
Source: RNAcentral